RNAcentral lists this ribosomal RNA (460 nucleotides) under uncultured bacterium. Its description in RNAcentral is "partial 16S ribosomal RNA". It matches the Rfam family "Bacterial small subunit ribosomal RNA", at positions 338 to 795 of the family's 1533-position model. The record is from RNAcentral.
CCUACGGGAGGCAGCAGUGAGGAAUAUUGGUCAAUGGACGAGAGUCUGAACCAGCCAAGUCGCGUGAAGGAUGACUGCCUUAUGGGUUGUAAACUUCUUUUAUAUGGGAAUAAAAUGUUCCACGUGUGGGAUUUUGUAUGUACCAUAUGAAUAAGGAUCGGCUAACUCCGUGCCAGCAGCCGCGGUAAUACGGAGGAUCCGAGCGUUAACCGGAUUUAUUGGGUUUAAAGGGAGCGUAGGUGGAUUGUUAAGUCAGUUGUGAAAGUUUGCGGCUCAACCGUAAAAUUGCAGUUGAAACUGGCAGUCUUGAGUACAGUAGAGGUGGGCGGAAUUCGUGGUGUAGCGGUGAAAUGCGUAGAUAUCACGAAGAACUCCGAUUGCGAAGGCAGUUCACUGGACUGCAACUGACACUGAGGCUCGAAAGUGUGGGUAUCAAACAGGAUUAGAUACCCCAGUAGUC